Long non-coding RNA from Bombyx mori (domestic silkworm), 1866 nucleotides. RefSeq lists it as uncharacterized. NCBI's taxonomy places the organism in Eukaryota, Metazoa, Arthropoda, Insecta, Lepidoptera, Bombycidae. The record is from RefSeq and is a predicted model, not a curated record. The transcript has 3 exons.
UCGAAUUCAUGUCUUAAACACAAGUUUUCAUCUCUAUAUAUAAAAAUGAAUUGCUGUUCGUUAGUCUCGCUUAAACUCGAGAACGGCUGGACCGAUUUGACUGAUUUUGGUCUUGAAUCAUUAUAUUUGUGAAAGUCCAGAAAAGGUUUAAAAGGUAAAAAAAUGUGUGCAAUUCACACGUGGUAGAAGUGAAACCUUCCAAAAUUAAAAUACAAUUAUCCUAAACGUCUUAAGUAUAUGUAAAAUUUUGUCAUUAGUAAAUAAUUGUAAGGUAGCGCCCUCUGUGAAUUGAUAUUUUAAUUUCACGUAUAAUCCUAAAUUAAAAUUCACUACAAGAGCUUUCAUACACACGUUAGUAUUAAAAAAUCUCACAGAUGGCGCUGUAUUAAAUAGUAUGUAUAUUUCUGUCUCAUUCUUUGCUGGCUUCAUCCUACACAUUUUUGUAUUUGUGUCUCUUACCUGUCAUUUUUUCCGUUGCAUCCGGUUUGAAAUCACAACGAUUCUAAAGAAGUUUUCACUUCAAUAAAUAUGAAAAUGCUCGGAAUGAAAUGAAAAUAACAAUUUUGUUUUCCCUUUGUUGUGUCCCCCGUCGGACGGAUUCCUUUUCCGUCUUUUAUUUAUCGAUUGACGCACUACGAAGUCUGCCGGGUCAGCUAGUGACUGAUAAAUGACAGCUAAUUACAUAUCAGGAGGUAUACGUAUAAUUUAAAUAAGUAUUUAAAUAGGUAUAGUAAUAUAGGGUUCCAAUCCAUCAUUCUCCGAACCGAAAAUAACGUCUAGUGCCGAUCAUUCCUAAUCUCUUGCCGUCAUCUUUUGCCGAACUGAUAGUCGUUAUUGCUCUUCAAUAUCAUCAGCGCUAGAGGCACAGCUGAGUUGCUUUUAUUCUGUACAAUGAAAAUUCAAGAGUAAGGAACACGCAUGGUAGCUAUUGAUUCCUCGUUUGAUUGCUAGUUCACGAAAUUAGAAAUAACUAGCUAUACCUGUCCGCUUCGCUGGGUAUUUAAAAUUAACAUUAUUAUUCUUCACCCCCACAAAGAUUCUCAUCAUUAAUGCCCCCGCAACUGGUUUAGAGAGUCCAACACUCAUAUAAAUCCAUUAAGUACAUGUAUUUUCUACAUGGAUACCAAGUUUCAAAUCAAUCGGAUGCCUGGUUCAGUAAUUAUAACGGAACAUCCGUAAAAACCACUGUAGAUUAGUAUAGAUUAAUCGACAAGAGGAUUAGUGGGUGUUUCAUAUUUCCAACCUACUAUUGCCUAAUAAUUUAUAUUCGUUUCGCCAUUCUGGCCAUCUGAUCAUAUAGUAAGUACAACCCAACUUGUAUUAGUAGUUGAAGCAGUUUUUGGAUUUCCAUGAAAUCUUAAAAUAAAAAAAACAUUACGAAAACAUUUAGUAAAAUUUAUUUUUGUCAUUUUUGUCAAUUGUACUUUGUUGACAUUAAAAUAUUAUAAAUAUCGUAAGCAAACUCCGUAAGAUAACUGUUUAAAUCAGGCCCAAUAGUUGGGGUUGGUUCAAUGCCAAUAUUCACGAUGAUAUAUUAAUAUUAAAUAACAUCCAGAGAUGAAUGCACGUGGUUACGAUUCAUACACUUAUUAAAUUGUCAGAGAGGCCCACAGAUCUCUCUACGGGUGUGCCGCCAACUGUUUUGAGACAUGUAGUCUACGGCUCAAUUGUCAUUCAAAGGCCUCCAUCAUUUUUUAUGUACUAUGGAUGUUUUUAUGUCCGACUUUUACCGGGAGCUCAAUAAGAGCCCGUAGUAUCAAGCCAAGGUCACUAAGUUUAUAUAUAAGGAGUGAUGUUGAGAGGGAAAAAAAAAUCAGCAGUAAAUCACCGAGACUAUUAUUAAAAAAUAUGUAAUAACAAAACUAA